This 491-nucleotide ribosomal RNA is filed under the name uncultured bacterium. Its description in RNAcentral is "partial 16S ribosomal RNA". It matches the Rfam family "Bacterial small subunit ribosomal RNA", at positions 28 to 507 of the family's 1533-position model. The record is from RNAcentral.
GAUGAACGCUGGCUACAGGCUUAACACAUGCAAGUCGAGGGGAAACGACGGGGAAGCUUGCUUCCCCGGGCGUCGACCGGCGCACGGGUGAGUAACGCGUAUCCAACCUGCCUCUGACUGAGGGAUAACCCGUCGAAAGUCGGCCUAAUACCUCAUGGCAUCGUCUGCGGGCAUCCAACGACGAUUAAAGAUUUCAUCGGUCAGGGAUGGGGAUGCGUCUGAUUAGCUAGUUGGCGGGGUAACGGCCCACCAAGGCGACGAUCAGUAGGGGUUCUGAGAGGAAGGUCCCCCACAUUGGAACUGAGACACGGUCCAAACUCCUACGGGAGGCAGCAGUGAGGAAUAGUGGUCAAUGGGCGAGAGCCUGAACCAGCCAAGUAGCGUGCAGGAUGACGGCCCUAUGGGUUGUAAACUGCUUUUAUGCGGGGAUAAAGUGAGGGACGUGUCCUUCAUUGCAGGUACCGCAUGAAUAAGGACCGGCUAAUUCCGUG